UACGUAGGGGGCAAGCGUUGUCCGGAUUUAUUGGGUUUAAAGGGUGCGUAGGUGGUCUAUUAAGUCAGUGCUGAAAUAUCCCGGCUUAACCGGGAGGGUGGCAUUGAUACUGAUGGACUUGAGUAAAGUUGAGGUAGGCGGAAUUGACGGUGUAGCGGUGAAAUGCUUAGAUAUCGUCAAGAACACCUAUAGCGAAGGCAGCUUACUAAGCUUUAACUGACACUGAUGCACGAAAGUGUGGGGAUCAAACAGG
RNAcentral lists this ribosomal RNA (253 nucleotides) under uncultured bacterium. RNAcentral's name for it is "partial 16S ribosomal RNA". It matches the Rfam family "Bacterial small subunit ribosomal RNA", at positions 524 to 776 of the family's 1533-position model. The record is from RNAcentral.